This 402-nucleotide ribosomal RNA is filed under the name uncultured bacterium. RNAcentral describes it as "bacterial SSU rRNA". It matches the Rfam family "Bacterial small subunit ribosomal RNA", at positions 355 to 771 of the family's 1533-position model. The record is from RNAcentral.
UUUGGAAUAUUGCACAAUGGGGGAAACCCUGAUGCAGCGACGCCGCGUGGAGGACGAAGGAUCUAGGUCUGUAAACUCCUUUUGCCAGGAAAGACUUAGGACGGUACCUGGCGAAUAAGCCCCGGCUAACUACGUGCCAGCAGCCGCGGUAAGACGUAGGGGGCGAGCGUUGUCCGGAUUUACUGGGCGUAAAGAGCGCGUAGGCGGCUAGUUAAGUGAGAAGUGAAAUCUCCAGGGCUCAACCCGGAAACUGCUUUUCAUACUGGCCAGCUGGAGGGACGCAGGGGUGACUGGAAUUCCCGGUGUAGCGGUGAAAUGCAUUGAUAUCGGGAGGAACUCCAACAGCGAAGGCAGGUCACUGGGCGUUUCCGUGACGCUGAGGCGACGAAGCGUGGUAGACAA